RNAcentral lists this long non-coding RNA (2895 nucleotides) under Dermacentor andersoni. RNAcentral describes it as "uncharacterized LOC126537813". Lineage: Eukaryota; Metazoa; Arthropoda; Arachnida; Ixodida; Ixodidae. The record is from RNAcentral.
AUUAGUUCUGAGAAGUGACUGCUUUUUGUCUUGCCUCUCACCAGAUAUAUCCAUGUGAUAAAAAAAUAGUGGUACAAUGAAAUUGCAUAUUUGCUUAGCGACAUGAUACAUACUUGCAAUGAGCACGGUGCCUGUGUUUACUAUAAAAAGCAACAGCCCAUGCUUGGUUAGGUUAGGCCCACUACAACAUGCAGGCAUGGGUGAUUGGCGCUUUUUUUAUUUCUGUGUCGUGAGGUUUAUUGACGUGCGUAUAGGUGCAGUGGCACGCAGUAUGGCUAGUACAAAAAGGGGGGGGGCAGAUAUAUGUAGCUCACUGUACACGACACAGGGCAAAGGAAAUCCGUGUUCAGCAACUAUGUUAAAUGCCAUAUACGUAAAUUUUACAACGCUACUCGUUCGAAGCGCGCACAGGUGCAUAUUGAAGAAAAGUUUCCAGGGUAGAUAAUUUAGUUCGUAAUUUACACUAAUUUUGCUCUAACCACGAGACAUAAUAAUUUGAAUAUAGUGCACGGAAAAACCUAGAGCGAAUUAAAUUAUGUGUCAGCUUCGUGUGUAUACAUAUAGUCUUUCCUAUGCAUCAGGUUUUUUGCGUAAUGCAUUAACAGUUGACAGCCUAUCUUAUGAUGUGUACUCUGUUUACAUUACAGUUGUUUAUUAGUUUACUCGUUUGUUUUGCGACUGAUGAAAUGCCGGCAUAUAUAUAUUGUCAACAUUUGACAUAACCCUGUAUGUUUUGCAGGGACAACCCAGGACGUGCAUUUCUCAGCACUCAGUCAACUGCCAAAAGUGACUCAAACACAGGCCACCAGUGGAACUCGGCUGUACCACUGCAGUGCUGCGGAAAUUGCCUUCACCAGCGGCUUUGCAACAGCUGUUUCGCAGCAUGUCGGAGACAAUGCCUACGAAAUUAUUGGCCCUGAUCAUGAGAGCCCUCAAGGGGCAAACAACAUCUCUGUUGCAGAAGUGAGCCCGGUACCACUUGGAAGUUACCAUGAGAGAUGACACGGCAGCAAUAGAUACAGAGACUGCCACGUCUACUGCAGCUGCAACAGUGUACGAGGCAAGCAGCACCGCGUCAGCAUCAGCAGCAGUGUCAGAAGGAACCACACCAGGCCUGGUAGAGCAACAUGUGUGCUAUCACUGACUUUUUUUGUAGUGGAUACAACUCAUUUGCUCAACAUACAAAAGCUUUUCACCACGACUGUGAGCCAGUGUUAUUGUGCAGCAAGUGCAAGACUAAGUUAGGUGUUAUAACACAGUACAAGCAUCACUUUAAUAUAUGCAAAUGCAAACAUAUUACAGUUGUUGCCUCCCCAGCCAGCCCACAUAGUGACAACAAUGUGGAACACAUGGUGGGACACACCUCUCCCCCAUUACAAGAUAGUAGAGACUGUCAGUGUUGUUGCUAGAUUGACUGGUUUUUGUAGGCAACUAGAAGGACAACACAGGUGUCAUAAGAUUGUUGUUGAUGUUGUUGUUGAAGAGGUAAAAAAGAAGUUUGAUGCAGCUGAAGUGCCAACUGAUAUUGAGCAAAUCAAAAGCAACCACCUGAGAAAGCAACACUAUCGAAAUUUGGGUAUCUAUGCGCCGCCAACUCUGGUAAGAAUGGCAUAGGACAGAAGUGUGAUGAAAAUCACACAGACACUGCUGUUGCAUCACUGGCCAUAGUGAGCAGCGACUUGUAGGGCAAGAGAGUCAACUGAAACUAACAUUAUGAUAUAGUGUCAUGCUCCCAUGUGACCACUUUUCAAGUUAUUUUGCAAGAUACAGCUCAACCUCCAGAAACGAGACUGCAACUUGUCUGUAAACAAGCUUUCACAAAAAAUUAUUCAUAACACUAUUAACAUAGCAGUAUUUUUUUUUUGUGUCGGUUCGAGGUUCCCGGCUGUCCAUUAAUGCAAAAAUUGAGGAAAAAAAGAACAUGUGUCGUGCUUACACCUUUUUAACAAGUACGAGGGGGACAGAACUUUUCUAGUCAUGCAUCUUCAUCAUACUAUCAAGUUUUUAAAUGCCUUUUAUAAUUAUUAUUACCUGUUAUAUCUGAGUGCAUUGUAUGCAUGUAGCAGGUGUAAAAUCAGGUCAGUUGGAUCAGAUGCCUUAUCUGCAAGCGAGCCCUAUAUUCAAGAAAUUUGAAUUAAAAUAGUUACGUUAGAGACGCAGUCUUUCAGCACUUUAUUGUCUGUGGUUUAAGCAUUGCUCAAUACUUUUGUGGGUGGCAAUUUCAACCGGCACAGCACUGCGCUUUGCCACAGUCACAUUUGUCUUCAAAGCGGUGUUUACCAUUUGUGUUGAUCUGUUUGUGUAUGCAUAGAGCAAGUUUUUAAUUUAUAUUUUUCUGCAUUCUUGUGCUUGCACUAAGCUUGUAUAAGGCAGUUACAAAAUGUGCGUCACUAUAACGAACUGUUCUGUUGAGCUUACACUUGCAAAUAAUCGUGUUCAGAUGGCCGCACUUCUAUGCGGGUGCACCGCUAGCUUUGUGUAUGUUCUCAUGUUUGUAUAAAGCUUAUAUAAGCUAGUUAGAAAAUGUAUGUCACUAAGCAUUGUGAUAUUCUUUAAAGAACUGCUUGGUUGGUUUUACACUUGUGAAUUAGUAUUGAGGCGGUGGUAUUCCCAUGUAUGCCCACUGCUAGCUUUCUGUGUCCUCACGUGUUUGUAUUAAGUUUCUACAAGGGAGUUACAGCAUGUACGUCACUAAGCGCUGUGAUAUUUUUUAAAGAACUGCUUUGUUGGUUUUACACCUGUGAGUAAUAGUACUCGGGUGGCACUAGUCAUGUGUAGGUACACAGGGACCAUUUGUAUACAUUAUGCUCAUGUAAAGCAGUUACAAAGUGUAUGUCACUAAUUACUGUGAUAUUUGUUGAAUUGCUGUGAUGGUUUUACACAUGUGAAUAAUAG